UAGCGCAGUUGGUAGCGCAUCACCUUGCCAAGGUGAGGGUCGCGAGUUCGAGUCUCG
Molecule: transfer RNA, 57 nt
Filed under: Corynebacterium diphtheriae
Lineage: Bacteria; Bacillati; Actinomycetota; Actinomycetes; Mycobacteriales; Corynebacteriaceae
Description: tRNA-Gly
Rfam family: tRNA
About the family: Transfer RNA (tRNA) molecules are approximately 80 nucleotides in length. Their secondary structure includes four short double-helical elements and three loops (D, anti-codon, and T loops).
Source: RNAcentral